RNAcentral lists this long non-coding RNA (541 nucleotides) under Prunus dulcis (almond). RNAcentral describes it as "sRNA ncRNA". The record is from RNAcentral. Lineage: Eukaryota; Viridiplantae; Streptophyta; Magnoliopsida; Rosales; Rosaceae.
CUAAAUUUGCUGGUGGUUUGGGUAUUAAAAAUUCUACUUGGAUGAAUCAAGCUCUUCUUGCUAAAACUGGUUGGCGCUUGUUGCAACGUGAGCAAGGUCUUUGGGCUCAAGUGUUUAAUGCUAAGUAUCUAAGGCGUUGUGAUAUUCUUGCGGCUAAAGAUCUGCAGUUCCAGAGUAGCUCCAAUGUCUGGAAGGGUAUCUUACAUGGUGCUCAAGUUCUUUCUGCAGGUGUUAAAUGGCGUGUGGGGUCUGGGGAUGAUAUCUUGAUAUGGACUGACAGAUGGCUUAGUUGUGGCCCUUUAUAGCAAUUUGCUCUGAUUGAUUUAUCUGAGGACAUGCUUCAAUUAAAUGUUAGUGAUUUUUUGGAGGAUGGGGUUUGGGAUUUCAAUUGCUUAUUGGAAUGCCUGCCUAUAAAUAUUGUCAACUUGAUCCUUAGUACUCAUGCUGGCUGUAAUGGUAGUGGGGAGGAUAAAUGCAUCUGGCAGCCCACCUCUAAUGGCCAAUUUUCUGUAAAAACUGCCUAUAGCACCUUUUAUCGGGA